AGUAUUCUCAUUAGUUCGAAUCAUUCUAAUCAAAAUUACAAAAUUUUAAAGUCCUUUUUUUACAUUCAUUUUGUUAGCAAUGUAUUUCGGGUUGGAGGGUCACUAUUACGAAGUCCAAGUCAUUGAUCGCGGCAGAAAUCCAAACAAGCAUUCCCAAGACCUCAACUGUACAUUGCCCGCCAUCUUGGAGUUUCCCAAUCUAAUGAGAAAGAAAAGCGUCGGAUUGACCAUCAGUGUUUUCCUAAUCAGCAUUUAUCUCUUCGUAGGCCUGGCUAUCGUUUGUGACAAUUAUUUAGUUCCCGCCAUGGAGCGUCUUUGCUUUUCCCUGCGCAUGACGUACGAUGUGGCGGGGGCCACUUUCCUGGCAGCCGCCACUUCGGCACCGGAACUCUUCGUCAACUUUAUAGGAACUUUCGUCACCCAUGGCGAUAUUGGGAUCGGCACCAUUGUCGGCUCUUCCGUUUUCAAUGUCCUGGUAAUUGCCGCUAUUUGUGGCAUCCUUACACCACCGAGCCAGCUUGAUUGGUGGCCAGUGACGAGAGAUUGUAUUUGGUAUAUCAUAGCCAUUGCCAUUCUGACGGCUACUCUCUGGGACUCUCUGGUCCUGUGGUACGAGUCCAUGGUGCUACUGAUCAUGUACAUAUUUUAUCUGAUCGCCCUCAUCCUGGAUCGUAGGAUUCAGGGCUCUAUUCGCAAAAUGCACGUAGAAUCCGAGCUAAUGGACGAGGAUCCGAUGGAGCGAGAGGAGGAGCCAUUGAAAUCCUUUCGAGAUCACGUUUGCGGAAAACCGGAGCCAGGAGCUCAUUGCUGGGCCUGGAUCUGGUGGGCCUUCAAGUAUCCAUUUAUUCUGAUCUUUGCACUAACCAUACCCAGUGUGCGAGGCAUUUAUUUUCUGUCCAUGAUCAUGUCCGUAAUUUGGAUUAGCAUCAUAUCCUAUAUGUUGUCCUGGUUCCUAACGAUCGUGGGCUAUAACCUGGGCAUACCGGACUCUAUAAUGGGUCUAACGAUAUUGGCAGCCGGUACUAGUGUGCCCGAAGUGGCCUCCUCCUAUAUUGUCUCCAAAAAGGGAUAUGGAUCUAUGGCCAUUUGUAAUGCUAUCGGAUCUAAUACCAUUGAUAUUUUAAUAUGUCUGGGCGUUCCCUGGUUCCUGAAGAAUCUCAUCUCGAUGGACCAUGUCUAUAUAGACUCUACAGCUAUAAUGUUCACCACUGGCAUGCUAUUUUGCACGGUAUUCGUGAUCUAUUCAACAUUUCUGUGCACCAGAUUCGUGAUGGGAAAGCCACUCGGUUGGAUCUGUUUGAUCGCCUAUAUCCUGUUCCUGGCGGUGGCUUGUACUUUGGAAGUAGUACUCAACGAUAAUGUCUACUGUGACAUGAGAGAGCAAAAGUAUGCCUCACUUCUGAACAAAUUGUUCGAUUCGGAUCCAAAAUUGCUAAAAUAAUAGUGGGAAAUAUAGUGAGAUGGGCCGUGGACGAACCUAUAUUCACUUCAUGCGCAUCCCAUCACAUUUCUGACUAUUUUAUUUAGAAUGUUUAGUCGAAAAAUCAUUAAUAAAGAAAUAAGUUACAAAGGCAAAUGGCCAAGUUAAUUGAUUCGUUGGGCAGGUGGAAAAAAAAUGCCUUGGAAAAAUAAUGGCAAAUCUAUAUAAAAUCUAUCGCUGAUCAGACGAAAAAGCUAUCAGUAAGGUGGUGACGUCAAUUAGACCAUGUUAUGACAUCAAGCAGCUACAGAUAC
RNA transcript from Drosophila ananassae, 1734 nucleotides. It is a transcript of the gene named sodium/potassium/calcium exchanger 3, with no coding region annotated. The transcript is spliced from 7 exons. The record is from RefSeq and is a predicted model, not a curated record. Lineage: Eukaryota; Metazoa; Arthropoda; Insecta; Diptera; Drosophilidae.